Molecule: ribosomal RNA, 513 nt
Filed under: uncultured bacterium
Lineage: Bacteria
Description: partial 16S ribosomal RNA
Rfam family: Bacterial small subunit ribosomal RNA
Source: RNAcentral
GACGAACGCUGGCGGCAUGCCUAAUACAUGCAAGUCGAGCGAACAGAUGAAGUGCUUGCACUUCUGACGUUAGCGGCGAACGGGUGAGUAACACGUAAGGAAUCUACCUAUAAGCGGGGGAUAACAUUCGGAAACGGGUGCUAAUACCGCAUAAUAUCUUCUUCCGCAUGGAAGAAGAUUGAAAGACGGCUCUGCUGUCACUUAUAGAUGACCUUGCGGUGCAUUAGUUAGUUGGUGGGGUAAUGGCCCACCAAGACGAUGAUGCAUAGCCGACCUGAGAGGGUGGUCGGCCACAUUGGGACUAAGACACGGCCCAAACUCCUACGGGAGGCAGCAGUAGGGAAUCUUCCGCAAUGGGCGAAAGCCUGACGGAGCAAUGCCGCGUGAGUGAAGAAGGCCUUCGGGUCGUAAAACUCUGUUAUAAGAGAAGAACAAAUUGUAGAGUAACUGCUACAGUCUUGACGGUAUCUUAUCAGAAAGCCACGGCUAACUACGUGCCAGCCGCCGCCGUAA